UUCCACCCCCGUGACCCCCUGGCGUCCUCUCCACCACCGCAGCCCAACUGCUACGCCAAGGUGAUCACCAUCGAGGCGCAGAAGAAGAUCGUCAUCUACUCGAAGCAGCCCAUCGGGGUCAACGAGGAGAUCACCUACGACUACAAGUUCCCCAUCGAGGACACCAAAAUCCCCUGCCUGUGCCGCACCGAGAGCUGCCGCGGCACGCUCAACUAGGCCACCGCGUGGUGGGCCCGGUGGUGGGCCUGGUGGUGGGCCUGGUGGUGGGCCUGGUGGUGGGCCUUCUGGUGGGCCUUCUGGUGGGCCUGGUGGUGGGCCUUCUGGUGGGCCUGGUGGUGGGCCUGAUGGUGGGCCUGAUGGUGGGCCUUCUGGUGGGCCUGGUGGUGGGCCUUCUGGUGGGCCUUCUGGUGGGCCUGGUGGUGGGCCUUCUGGUGGGCGAGGAGGCAGCGGCGUUGGGGAGAAGUCAACGUGGUUGGCAAGAGGUCAACGUGGUGGUGUUGGGUCAUCAUCGUUGGCAAGAGGUCAUCAAUGUCUUUGGCAAGAGGUCGUCGUGGUCAUCACCAUGGUCAUCACCAUGGUUGGCAAGAGGUCAUCGUUGUUGGUGCUGGGUCAUCGGCGUUGGCAAGAGGUCACCGUGGUCAUCACCAUGGUUAGCAAGAGGUCAACAAUGUUGGUGAGAAGUCAAUGUGGUUGGCAUGGUGUCAUCACCAUGGUUGGCAAGAGGUCAUCGUUGUUGGUGUUGGGUCAUCGGUGUUGGCAAGAGGUCAUCGUGGUCAUCACCAUGGUUGGCAAGAGGUCAACGAUGUUGGUGAGAAGUCAACGUGGUUGGCAAGAGGCAAGAGGUCAUCGUGGUUGGUGUUGGGUC
RNAcentral lists this long non-coding RNA (865 nucleotides) under Anas platyrhynchos platyrhynchos (common mallard). Its description in RNAcentral is "lncRNA (ENSAPLG00000025675.1)". The record is from RNAcentral. Lineage: Eukaryota; Metazoa; Chordata; Aves; Anseriformes; Anatidae.